GCGGCAAGAUCGAGAUCAAGCGGAUCGAGAACUCCACCAACCGCCAGGUCACCUUCUCCAAGCGCCGCAACGGCAUCAUCAAGAAAGCUCGUGAGAUCAGCGUCCUCUGUGAGGCCCAGGUCUCCGUCGUCAUCUUCUCCAGCUCCGGCAAGAUGUCCGAGUACUGCAGCCCCUCCACCUCUCUACCGAAGAUCCUUGAGAGGUAUCAGGUGAACUGCGGCAAGAAGAUCUGGGAUCCCAAGCAUGAGCACCUGAGCGCGGAGAUUGAUAGGAUCAAGAAGGAGAAUGAUAAUAUGCAGAUCCAGUUGAGGCAUCUGAAGGGAGAGGAUCUGAACUCGCUGCAGCCGAAGGAGCUGAUCCCAAUCGAGGAGGCGCUGGAGAACGGCAUCAGGGGCGUCCGGGAGAAGCAGAAUGAUUUUCUGAGGAUGCUCAAGAAGAAUGAAAGGAUACUGGAAGAGGAUAACAAACGGUUAACUUAUAUACUGCACCAUCAACAACUGGCAAUGGAUGAAAAUAUGAGGAACUUGGAAUUUGCAUAUCAUCAUAAAGAUGGGGAUUUCGGUUCCCAGAUGCCAAUGGCCUUUCGUGUGCAGCCAAUCCAGCCUAAUUUACAUGAGGACAAGUAGUAUGAGCAUCUCCUGUGCCUGAUAUUUUAUUUAGACAUCGAGUAUCUAAAGAAAUUUAUUAUCU
RNAcentral lists this unclassified non-coding RNA (690 nucleotides) under Hevea brasiliensis (rubber tree). Lineage: Eukaryota; Viridiplantae; Streptophyta; Magnoliopsida; Malpighiales; Euphorbiaceae. The record is from RNAcentral.